RNAcentral lists this ribosomal RNA (392 nucleotides) under uncultured bacterium. Its description in RNAcentral is "bacterial SSU rRNA". It matches the Rfam family "Bacterial small subunit ribosomal RNA", at positions 521 to 916 of the family's 1533-position model. The record is from RNAcentral.
UAAUACGUAGGGGGCGAGCGUUGUCCGGAUUUACUGGGCGUAAAGGGUGAGUAGGCGGUAAUAUGUGUCAGAUGUAAAAGGCUAUGGCUUAACCAUAGUUGGCAUUUGAAACUGUAUUACUUGAGUGCAGGAGAGGUAAGUGGAAUUCCUAGUGUAGCGGUGAAAUGCGUAGAUAUUAGGAGGAACACCAGUGGCGAAGGCGACUUACUGGACUGUAACUGACGCUGAGUCACGAAAGCGUGGGUAGCAAACAGGAUUAGAUACCCUGGUAGUCCACGCUGUAAACGAUGAGUGCUAGGUGUUGGGUAGCGAUAUUCAGUGCCGAAGUAAACACAAUAAGCACUCCGCCUGGGGAGUACGGUCGCAAGACUGAAACUCAAAGGAAUUGACGG